This 442-nucleotide ribosomal RNA is filed under the name uncultured bacterium. RNAcentral's name for it is "partial 16S ribosomal RNA". It matches the Rfam family "Bacterial small subunit ribosomal RNA", at positions 338 to 795 of the family's 1533-position model. The record is from RNAcentral.
CCUACGGGAGGCAGCAGUGGGGAAUAUUGGGCAAUGGGCGCAAGCCUGACCCAGCAACGCCGCGUGAAGUAAGAAGGCUUUCGGGUUGUAAACUUCUUUUGUCAGGGAAGAGUAGAAGACGGUACCUGACGAAUAAGCCACGGCUAACUACGUGCCAUCAGCCGCGGUAAUACGUAGGUGGCAAGCGUUGUCCGGAUUUACUGGGUGUAAAGGGCGUGUAGCCGGGUUGACAAGUCAGAUGUGAAAUCCUGCGGCUUAACCGCAGAACUGCAUUUGAAACUGUUGAUCUUGAGUACUGGAGAGGCAGACGGAAUUCCGAGUGUAGCGGUGAAAUGCGUAGAUAUUAGGAGGAACACCAGUGGCGAAGGCGGUCUGCUGGACAGCAACUGACGGUGAGGCGCGAAAGCGUGGGGAGCAAACAGGAUUAGAUACCCGAGUAGUC